RNAcentral lists this small nuclear RNA (164 nucleotides) under Ornithorhynchus anatinus (platypus). RNAcentral describes it as "U1 spliceosomal RNA (ENSOANG00000040392.1, ENSOANG00000046839.1, ENSOANG00000049679.1, ENSOANG00000051095.1)". It matches the Rfam family "U1 spliceosomal RNA". From Rfam's summary of the family: U1 is a small nuclear RNA (snRNA) component of the spliceosome (involved in pre-mRNA splicing). Lineage: Eukaryota; Metazoa; Chordata; Mammalia; Monotremata; Ornithorhynchidae. The record is from Rfam by way of RNAcentral.
AUACUUACCUGGCAGGGGAGACACCAUGAUCACGUAGGUGGUUUUCCCAGGGUGAGGCUCCGCCAUUGCACUUGGGCUGUGCUGACCCCUGCGAUUUCCCCAAAUGCGGGAAACUCGACUGCAUAAUUUGUGGUAGUGGGGGACUGCGUUCGCGCUCUCCCCUG